Molecule: transfer RNA, 84 nt
Filed under: Treponema sp.
Lineage: Bacteria; Pseudomonadati; Spirochaetota; Spirochaetia; Treponematales; Treponemataceae
Also listed under: 1 other name
Description: tRNA-Leu
Rfam family: tRNA
About the family: Transfer RNA (tRNA) molecules are approximately 80 nucleotides in length. Their secondary structure includes four short double-helical elements and three loops (D, anti-codon, and T loops).
Source: RNAcentral
GCGAAAGUGGUGGAAUUUGGUAGACACGCUAGAUUUAGGAUCUAGUGCACCAUAAGCAUAAGGGUUCAAAUCCCUUCUUUCGCA